This is a long non-coding RNA of Limulus polyphemus (Atlantic horseshoe crab), 169 nucleotides long. RefSeq lists it as uncharacterized. The record is from RefSeq and is a predicted model, not a curated record. The transcript has 3 exons. Lineage: Eukaryota; Metazoa; Arthropoda; Merostomata; Xiphosura; Limulidae.
AACGUUGAUAAUUAAUGGUAUAAGCAUUGUGCAGCUGUGAGUUUCACCAGAAAGUGAGAGGAGAGGAAAUGCCUAAUAAAAAAACAGUAUCACAAAAGAGAGAACAGUCACUUUUUUUUUGUGAAACGUACAGGAAAUGUAGGAUCCACAUAGAAAUCACUAUUACUUG